GGGUUGUGAGGUUAAGCGACUAAGCGUACACGGUGGAUGCCCUGGCAGUCAGAGGCGAUGAAGGGCGUGCUAAUCUGCGAUAAGCGCCGGUAAGGUGAUAUGAACCGUUAUAACCGGCGAUACCCGAAUGGGGAAACCCAGUGUGAUUCGUCACACUAUCAUUACGUGAAUACAUAGCGUAAUGAAGCGAACCGGGGGAACUGAAACAUCUAAGUACCCCGAGGAAAAGAAAUCAACCGAGAUUCCCCCAGUAGCGGCGAGCGAACGGGGAGGAGCCCAGAGCCUGAAUCAGCAUGUGUGUUAGUGGAAGCGUCUGGAAAGGCGCGCGAUACAGGGUGACAGCCCCGUACACAAAAGCGCAUGUGUUGUGAGCUCGAUGAGUAGGGCGGGACACGUGGUAUCCUGUCUGAAUAUGGGGGGACCAUCCUCCAAGGCUAAAUACUCCUGACUGACCGAUAGUGAACCAGUACCGUGAGGGAAAGGCGAAAAGAACCCCGGCGAGGGGAGUGAAAAAGAACCUGAAACCGUGUACGUACAAGCAGUGGGAGCACCCUUUGGGGUGUGACUGCGUACCUUUUGUAUAAUGGGUCAGCGACUUAUAUUCUGUAGCAAGGUUAACCGAAUAGGGGAGCCGGAGGGAAACCGAGUCUUAAUUGGGCGUUAAGUUGCAGGGUAUAGACCCGAAACCCGGUGAUCUAGCCAUGGGCAGGUUGAAGGUUGGGUAACACUAACUGGAGGACCGAACCGACUAAUGUUGAAAAAUUAGCGGAUGACCUGUGGCUGGGGGUGAAAGGCCAAUCAAACCGGGAGAUAGCUGGUUCUCCCCGAAAGCUAUUUAGGUAGCGCCUCGUGAAUUCAUCUCCGGGGGUAGAGCACUGUUUCGGCUAGGGGGCCAUCCCGGCUUACCAACCCGAUGCAAACUGCGAAUACCGGAGAAUGUUAUCACGGGAGACACACGGCGGGUGCUAACGUCCGUCGUGAAGAGGGAAACAACCCAGACCGCCAGCUAAGGUCCCAAAGUCAUGGUUAAGUGGGAAACGAUGUGGGAAGGCCCAGACAGCCAGGAUGUUGGCUUAGAAGCAGCCAUCAUUUAAAGAAAGCGUAAUAGCUCACUGGUCGAGUCGGCCUGCGCGGAAGAUGUAACGGGGCUAAACUAUGCACCGAAGCUGCGGC
Molecule: ribosomal RNA, 1173 nt
Filed under: Salmonella enterica
Lineage: Bacteria; Pseudomonadati; Pseudomonadota; Gammaproteobacteria; Enterobacterales; Enterobacteriaceae
Also listed under: 1 other name
Description: partial 23S ribosomal RNA
Rfam family: Bacterial large subunit ribosomal RNA
Source: RNAcentral